This 503-nucleotide ribosomal RNA is filed under the name uncultured bacterium. RNAcentral's name for it is "partial 16S ribosomal RNA". It matches the Rfam family "Bacterial small subunit ribosomal RNA", at positions 30 to 523 of the family's 1533-position model. The record is from RNAcentral.
AUUGAACGCUGGCGGCAGGCCUAACACAUGCAAGUCGAGCGGUAGCACAGAGAGCUUGCUCUCGGGUGACGAGCGGCGGACGGGUGAGUAAUGUCUGGGAAACUGCCUGAUGGAGGGGGAUAACUACUGGAAACGGUAGCUAAUACCGCAUAACGUCGCAAGACCAAAGAGGGGGACCGUCGGGCCUCUUGCCAUCAGAUGUGCCCAGAUGGGAUUAGCUAGUAGGGGGGUAAUGGCUCACCUAGGCGACGAUCCCUAGCUGGUCUGAGAGGAUGACCAGCCACACUGGAACUGAGACACGGUCCAGACUCCUACGGGAGGCAGCAGUGGGGAAUAUUGCACAAUGGGCGCAAGCCUGAUGCAGCCAUGCCGCGUGUGUGAAGAAGGCCUUCGGGUUGUAAAGCACUUUCAGCGAGGAGGAAGGCGGUGAGGUUAAUAACCUCAUCGAUUGACGUUACUCGCAGAAGAAGCACCGGCUAACUCCGUGCCAGCCGCCGCUGUAA